This is a non-coding RNA of Lolium perenne, 2021 nucleotides long. Lineage: Eukaryota; Viridiplantae; Streptophyta; Magnoliopsida; Poales; Poaceae. The record is from RefSeq and is a predicted model, not a curated record.
AGGAGGUAACGAUUCCAGAAUUCUCCAAUCCAUUCGCCUCUCUCUUCCUUCUUCCUGGCCGCUCCCGGCAUCCAUAAGGGCGGGCGGAAGGGCCUAUCCCAUCGUGGUGGUGCCACUGGCCCCACCUUGGGCUGUGCAGCCAGAGUCUAACGGCGAACGGCAGUGCGAGAACCGCGAGCGCUCCCCGCUUGGCCAUGCCUUCUCCUCCUAUGUCUCAUAGUUCGUCGCGUGUCCGCAGUGCCAAGUGUCCUCCGGCAUGGUCCAUCCAACAAGGUCACUGCGCGGAGCGUGCAGACGCGUCGUCAUCCUCCUAUGUGUGGAUGUGCUCGAUGGUCAAGUCAUGAGGGAGAUCUUCCGUGGUAGCUUAAUGCUAACGAGUCAGCGAACGUCGAUUCGUUCCCGGUGAAGCCCGCAGGCGCAUCAGCACCUGCAAAUCCAGAUGCACCAGCCACCGCAGGAGGAGGAUGGAGGUGGUGAGAAGGAGCUGCAGGUGGCGGAGCACCAGAGCAUGUGCUGGCCCAAGCGGAGCUACAGCAAGGACCUCAACACCAAGGCGGACGGCAGGGGCGGCGGAUCCGGAUGCCAGCGCUCUGGGCGUUCUGGAUCUUCUAGCGAGCUCGCGAGCUCGGCCGCAAGUCCGAUGGCGAGACCGUCCCAUGGCAGUUGCAGCUGCUGCAGCCAGCCAUUGUCGCCGCCACGGGGACGGGCAUCAUCCCGGCGUGCCCGCUCUCAUCCGUAACGCCCUCGCUGCCGUCGCCCACCUCUGCGUUGGCGGAGUGGCCGGCUGGCCGCACCACCACCACCAGGUGUGGGGGGCGCCGCUGCGGUCCGCAGGCUUCUCGCACUCUGGGUUCAUGAACGCGUCAGGGCCCGACACUAACGGCGGGGUUAUCAGCGGGAUCGUGCAGCAGAUGGCAGUGUCCGCCGGGUCGUGCCUAUGUUCGCUAGCCACGCCGCGGCCAGGCUGGGACUGAAACUCGAGUUGUCGCAGGAAGGCCACAUUGGCGUGCCCGCCGGGCAGUUGCUCGGCGGUUGGGAGCGCCGGCGCACAUGGUUCGUCUAACUCCGAUAGUCCGUUGUUGCCCCUGCAUCUACUGUUGGUUUGUCUGCUCUUUCUGCUUGGUCGCCCUUUGUUCUAUGAUUUUCGACUGCUGAUGAUGAUGAUACGAGGUGCGCAAUUUGGCUUGGUAAACGGCCGAUCAAACCUGCUGAUAGUAAUGCCUCCCCUUUUCCCCUCUGUUUUUCCUUUCGUCCGAUUGUUCAUCCGUUCGAUUAUCGUAUUAUAUGUAGCUGCAACCAUCUGAUGAACUAAAGUUGUACUGCAGGUUGUUCACGAGUGGCCUGGUUUGCCAUAAUGUAUCAAGUUUGGUCCAUCUAACCUGAAAUCGAUUUGGAAUUUGCUGGCAGAACAUGAUAAAUCAGGUACUUAAGGAAUAAGGAUGAAUUUAUUCCAGCUGUUGAGGAAGAUUACAGUAUCAGCUGGAGAAAUUGCAAGGAAGAAAGAAAAAGUGUAGACCCUCCCACAGAGUAAGCAGGAAUGGAAAUCAGUGAAAAGGCAAAGAGGUGGAGUUGAGCUGCAAUGAUCACAUACCCUACACUUGCUGGAUGAUCACCAGAGAAAGAUGAUUCUCUGUAAAUUCCACGCAUGCCUCAUCACGAAGCGAUGGACUAGCAAUCUCCAAGCUUUCAUUUGGUCUCAAAAGCAAUUAAUUUUCGCCUUUCAAAAGAUCACCAUUUGAAUCAGAUGGAGGAGGCCACAUUUGGAGAGAAUUGUUCAAGGGGAAAUGAAUCCUCGCUGCCGCUUAAGCAAUCUGCCCGCCAUACCCAGUUCAUGCCGCGUCAAUUGAUGCUGCUUCCAAUGAUAUUUCUAAGAGCGUGCAAGCCACCAUAAUAACCAAUUUUGUAACAGUAUUUAAGCUGCUCAUAAUAGUGCUAGGAGCAUGCAAGCCAUCAUAAUAGUGCAUUUUAAGAUGGCUGGUAAUGAAUAUUUGUAAGUUGAUCCUUUCUAAAUGGUUUAAACA